This is a non-coding RNA of Triticum urartu, 126 nucleotides long. The record is from Rfam. NCBI's taxonomy places the organism in Eukaryota, Viridiplantae, Streptophyta, Magnoliopsida, Poales, Poaceae.
UCAAUACUCCCUUCGUCCGAAAAAGUUUGUCUCUUAAAUGGAUGUAUCUAGCACCAAGUUAGUGCUAGAUACAUCUAUUUGAAAGACAAAAUUGGGACAAGCUUUUUCGGACUAAGGGAGUACUUG